This 340-nucleotide unclassified non-coding RNA is filed under the name soil metagenome. RNAcentral's name for it is "partial contains 5.8S ribosomal RNA, internal transcribed spacer 2, and large subunit ribosomal RNA". The stretch from base 1 to 120 matches the Rfam family "5.8S ribosomal RNA", at positions 35 to 154 of the family's 154-position model. The record is from RNAcentral.
GAUGAAGAACGCAGCGAAAUGCGAUACGUAAUGUGAAUUGCAGAAUUCAGUGAAUCAUCGAAUCUUUGAACGCACAUUGCGCCCUUUGGUAUUCCAAAGGGCAUGCCUGUUCGAGCGUCAUUUGUACCCUCAAGCUUUGCUUGGUGUUGGGCGUCUUUUGUCUCCAGUUCGCUGGAGACUCGCCUUAAAGUCAUUGGCAGCCGGCCUACUGGUUUCGGAGCGCAGCACAAGUCGCGCUCUUAGCCAGCCAAGGUCAGCGUCCAGCAAGCCUUUUUUCAACCUUUGACCUCGGAUCAGGUAGGGAUACCCGCUGAACUUAAGCAUAUCAAUAAGCGGAGGA